This 73-nucleotide transfer RNA is filed under the name Gaiellaceae bacterium. RNAcentral's name for it is "tRNA-Gly". It matches the Rfam family "tRNA". From Rfam's summary of the family: Transfer RNA (tRNA) molecules are approximately 80 nucleotides in length. Their secondary structure includes four short double-helical elements and three loops (D, anti-codon, and T loops). RNAcentral also lists the same sequence under 2 other names. Lineage: Bacteria; Bacillati; Actinomycetota; Thermoleophilia; Gaiellales; Gaiellaceae. The record is from RNAcentral.
GCGGACGUAGCUCAGUUGGUAGAGCAUCGGCUUCCCAAGCCGAGGGUCGUGGGUUCGAAUCCCAUCGUCCGCU